GGAGAGUGGAGAAGGGAAGGAAGAGGAGAGAAGGAAGUGGAGCUCUUGCCCGACAGAGACCCGGACAGCGACGGGACCAAGAUCAGCACAGUGAAAGUCCAAGGCAAUGACAUCUCCCACAAGCUUCAGAUUUCCAAAGUGAGGAAAAAGGAUGAAGGCUUAUACGAGUGCAGGGUGACUGAUGCCAACUACGGGGAGCUUCAGGAACACAAGGCCCAGGCCUAUCUGAAAGUCAAUGCCAACAGCCAUGCCCGCAGAAUGCAGGCCUUCGAAGCCUCGCCCAUGUGGCUGCAGGAUAUGAAGCCCCGCAAGAACGUCUCCGCAGCCGUCCCCAGCAGCAUCCAUGGCUCUGCCAACCAACGAACGCACUCCACCUCCAGCCCUCAAGCGGUAGCCAAAAUCCCCAAACAAAGUCCACAAUCAGCAAAGAGCAAAUCGCCUGUAAAAUCUACGGAGCGGACAGCAAAGUUGACCCUAAACUCCAAGCACCACCCUGCACCCACUGUACUCUAAUUCACUACACAAGGAGCGCCUGCUUCUGGAAGCAUAAAUGAAGAGGCUAUCACAUGCUUUGUUGAUCAUAUUUUCUUUGGCAAAACACUGAUCUUUUAUUUUAAGAGAAUUAGUGUGAAGUUUUCUAAUAGCAAGAUCUAUUUUUUUCCCUUUUCUUUCGGCGACUAAAAUCAUCUCACUGACUGCUCAAGGGUUGGCCUGAAUGUCAUCAGGAUAGGGAAUAUUCACUAUGGAUACCACUAAUUUCCUACUAAAGGACCC
This 774-nucleotide small RNA is filed under the name Pongo abelii (Sumatran orangutan). Its description in RNAcentral is "processed transcript". Lineage: Eukaryota; Metazoa; Chordata; Mammalia; Primates; Hominidae. The record is from RNAcentral.